RNA transcript from Cucumis sativus (cucumber), 2889 nucleotides. RefSeq lists it as hypothetical. The record is from RefSeq and is a predicted model, not a curated record. The transcript has 8 exons. NCBI's taxonomy places the organism in Eukaryota, Viridiplantae, Streptophyta, Magnoliopsida, Cucurbitales, Cucurbitaceae.
UUCUCUAAGCUUCCCGCCAUUUUCUCUUCUUCCCGCCUCCUUUCUCUCCCUUCUCUCUCUCUCUCCAUCGAUUCCAAGAACUCUCCAUGGAAUCAAAGCUUCGCACUAUGCCUUCCAAACGCUCCUCCGUUGUUCAUCAACCCCGAGCUCUACAAGCUGGAUUCCACUUACCUUGCAAAAGACCUAAGACUACUCUCCCCCAACCGCACCCGGAAGAACAUGCUUCCAAUUUUUUUGCCAAAGAUAUACGCAUCAAGCGAGUAUUCUCCCCCAAUUUACAGAAUCACUCCUCGGUGUCAUCCAGAGAGCCGAUUAGCGAUAGAGAAAGGCUAAUAACCGUGAAUGGAACUUGUUCGAAUGAAGACGGUGGAGUCGGUAAUACACAUGUUGAAUGCGAUGAGGGUCGGCGAUGUAAUGGGAAGAGUGAGGAACCGGUGCACUCUACUCCUCCUGAUGUGGAUAUUCUGACUCGGGGUUUUGUGUCGGCUUCUUCAAGUGGUUGUCCUCGAUCAAGUAAUGGAGGUGUUUUGGGAGAUACUUGUGUGAAAUCUGACUGUAGAUUUGACUCUGUUGCUAGAACCGGAUCGGUGCUCAAACCAUGUUCUAAACGAAACUUAUUCAAGGCUCCUGGCUCUAUUGCCUACAAAAGAUUGCUACCCUUUUUGAUGGAUAACGACAAUUACAAGCUACAAGUUGAUCCAAAGUCAAAAAGUGAGAACAAUUUGGUGAAGAAGUUGAAUAAUGAAUCUGAUCUGCGUAAUCAUGUCAAGGGCUCAUCUUUUCUUGGUUCAGACACUUGUGUAAAGAAUGCAAUUUUUGCCUCCGGCAUGUCAUGUAAGACUACGAAGCUAAAUUUACCACCUCCUGAUAAUGGAGAUACUUCGAAUUUUCAGAAUGGUGGCGGUUUCAACAAUAGCCAGAAUACAAUUAAAGAGGAUUCUGGUUUGAAAAAAGAUAAUGCAGUUUGUGCCUCAUCUCUUGACGAAGGGCUGACAGAGCAAUCAAAAAAUCCCGGGAUAGAUACGCUUGAUAGUGGAUCCAUUUUUGUAUCAGAAGUAGACAAUGUUAUGUCCCAUGUUUCAGAGGAUAGUAAAAGAGACGGUCAUUUCAAUGAACUCAGGAUGUCAUCAUUAAAUUCUAACAUUGUUGAUAGGCCAUUGAAUGAAGAAAGGAGGGAUGGAAAACUUGGUAGUUCUACUGUUGGUGAAAAUCAUUGUAGCAUUGCUACAGCGAGUAACAAGAAAAAUGGCGCCUGUGUUAGAAACAAACUGGUUCGCAAUCCACUUGUACAACUGAAGUCAAAAUACAGCCAAUUUUCAUUUAGCUAUCGAAGGAUGCGUCCAUUCCUUGAGGAUCUCUUCAAAGAUAAUCCAGAGAACUGUGACUCGGGAAACAUCAACAGUUCGGUACCAGAGAAAGAAUUUCCAACUAUGAAUUUGCAACCACCGAGUUCAAACUCUCACAAUUCCCAGGAUAAAUCUGAAGGCUUGGUAUCUUGCAACAUGCCAGUUGACGGAAACUCAUAUACUCCUUCAAUGCAUGUGUUGACUAGUAAGAAAGAAACAGAUUGUGAAACAGAUGAAGUUUUAUUGCCUGCUGGAGUCGAUGAUAAACUUCUAUCACCUCCAAACUUAACGUUGCACACUGAGCAGGAGAUGUUGGAUGAAUGUAAUUUGAAAACGGACCCUCAAUUGCCUGGUGCAACAUUUUUGAAUGAUCAAGCAGUGCUACCAUUGUAUCCUGCUGCUAGUUAUGAAACUCUAAUUGGAGAAGGAUUCAGAAUGACCUCUGAACAGUCACCAAUCACUUCAGAAGACUGCACAAGUUUGAAAGAUCGUGUUUCUGGUGGUGCUAAUAUCGAUGAGAGAAACAGCUUAGCACCAAAUUCCUCUUCUGUAGAAGGAGGUAUUCUGCCAGGAAUUCACAUAAAUCAUAGAAAGGGAAUUCUAAAACGAAGCACACGAGGAUGCAGAGGAAUCUGCAAUUGUCUGAACUGUUCCUCUUUUCGUCUUCAUGCUGAAAGAGCAUUUGAAUUUUCUAGAAAUCAACUGCAAGAUGCUGAAGAAGUUGCUUCAGAUUUGAUGAAAGAGUUGUCGUAUCUUCGCGGUGUCCUGGAAAAGUAUUCUGAUGUUGCAAAAGGGGAUGCUGAAUAUCAUCAUUCAAAUAAGGUGAAAGAAGCUUGUAGGAAAGCAUCUGAAGCAGAGUUAACUGCCAAAGACCGCCUUCAACAAAUGAACUAUGAGCUUAACAUUCAUUGCAGAAUCACGUGUUCCCAACGACCGAAUGUUAGUUUUUCUUGUGAAGUUGAGAAACUAGAUAUUGAAGAUGUAAAAUAGAGCAAAAUGAUGAACAUUACAAAUCUGUUACCGUCAUAAAAGUUGCGGCCUUGACUCUUCAGCUUAUGCAAGGCUGAGAUUUCAUGAAUGGUCUUUCAUUUCAUUUGGGAAUGCAUCAGAUGGGGAAAGGGUUGCAUCUUGAUGACGAAGGAACAGGUCGAGCCUAAUGAAGCAUGCUUUGGCCCCAAGGAUCAAAUUGGGCCUAGGAGGGGGUUGUCGAAGUUAGCCAAAUCUGAGGUCGAGCCUAACACGAUGGCCACUGAAGCAUGCCUUGACAUGGGGAGAGAAAGAAUGACCCUAACGUAGCUUCGAAACUCUAUGGAGGAGAACAUAAGUCACAUAUUUCUAUAAAUAUACAGGUAUAGCUUUAGGGAAGUAGGUCAAUUCUCACAAACUUCUAUAAUUUUUCACUCUUUGACUUGCAUUGUAGUGUGCAUGACAAACUCCAAACCAAUGUGUAAGUUUCUUUUUGUCUUGGAGGUCACAUGCUUCUCAUCUCUAAACAAAUUUACCGUUGUCAUUGGAUAAAUGUUAACUUUUUUUUCAAUCCAAA